AUGAUUCCUCCUAUUUAUAGCAUGGAAAUGGACGCAAAAUCUUUCAAAGAAUUCAGAAGUCAGGAAUGGAACAUCGGAGUGCCAAUGCCAUAUUCAAACUACGAAAAGCAAAAAGAUUCAGUUCUAGUGAUAAUUCAGCAUCCUCGAUAGCAUUA
Molecule: non-coding RNA, 155 nt
Organism: Camelina sativa (false flax)
Lineage: Eukaryota; Viridiplantae; Streptophyta; Magnoliopsida; Brassicales; Brassicaceae
Source: RefSeq, a predicted model, not a curated record